CCUACGCGGGGCCGCAGUGAGGAAUAUUGGUCAAUGGGCGAGAGCCUGAACCAGCCAAGUCGCGUGAGGGCGUACUGCCCUAUGGGUUGUAAACCUCUUUUGUCGGGGAGCAAAAGCCGGACGUGUCCGGCUGUGAGAGUCCCCGAAGAAAAAGCAUCGGCUCAAUCAGUACCAGCAGCCGCGGUAAUACGGAGGAUGCGAGCGUUAUUGGGAUUUGUGGGGUUUACAGGGUGCGCAGGCGGAUUUUUAAGUAAGCGGGAAAAGCGUGGGGCGCAACCCCAUCCAGCCGUUGAAACUGGGGAUCUAGAGUGUGCGAGAGGUAUGCGGAAUGCGUGGUGUAGCGGUGAAAUGCAUAGAUAUCACGCAGAACCCCGAUUGCGAAGGCAGCAUACCGGUGCACAACUGACGCUCAGGCACGAAAGCGUGGGUAUCGAACAGGAUCAGAUACCCCAGUAGUC
This 458-nucleotide ribosomal RNA is filed under the name uncultured bacterium. RNAcentral's name for it is "partial 16S ribosomal RNA". It matches the Rfam family "Bacterial small subunit ribosomal RNA", at positions 338 to 795 of the family's 1533-position model. The record is from RNAcentral.